Molecule: non-coding RNA, 499 nt
Organism: Python bivittatus (Burmese python)
Lineage: Eukaryota; Metazoa; Chordata; Lepidosauria; Squamata; Pythonidae
Source: RefSeq, a predicted model, not a curated record
UCCCCCCACCUAGCUGAACAGUCAGAGGCAGGGUGGGGAAGAGAAUAACUAAGACAUGAAGAAAAUAGUAAUUCUCUGCACCAAGGAUAGCUGCUCUACUCCUGAGAAGACUGCAAGACCUCCAUCCCAUGGUCUCCUCACGAGGAGCAGUUGUCUGGGGUGAUCUCUCAGUCUCUCCUUUAUCCGGAAAGACUUUGCUGGCCAGAAAACCCCACUGGCUGCUGUUCACUACUGCGGCGCUGUCUCCACUCCUUCAGAGAUGUCUAGUCCGCUAUAGGAACCUCACCUGGAAACCUACACUUCAAUGACCAGUCGUAUCUACCAUUCGUUCAGCGUCGUCAUAACUUCGAAUGGUUACUAAAUGAAUGGCCGUAAUCUAAGGACUACCUGUGAAUAAUAAUCAACUUCAAAGGAAAUAUAUCUGGAAUGAUCUUUACCUACCUGCCAUGCCUAGAAAGCUUCCAUUGUGGUGUUCUUUGCUCAUCGCGAUGCGCCUCAA